Molecule: RNA transcript, 2261 nt
Organism: Pyrus x bretschneideri (Chinese white pear)
Lineage: Eukaryota; Viridiplantae; Streptophyta; Magnoliopsida; Rosales; Rosaceae
Gene name: transcription factor PCL1
Exons: 3
Source: RefSeq, a predicted model, not a curated record
UUCUACCACAAAGCGUAGAAGAAAAAUAAAAUAAUAAAAAGAGGAAAAAAGGAAAAAAAAAUUCUAUAAUUUUCCCACCCGUUUUCUCACUUGCCAAACAGUCCUCCGAAUCUCCCGGAUUCUCCAAUCUGCUUGUUCCUCUUCUUCUUCUCUCAAUUGGUCUUCGUUUUUCUCCUGAUUUUUCUCCCAACCCGAUCCGAUCCCGACACGAACAAUUCUAUGACAAAAAUCUAAAAAAGCAACAAAAAAAUUGAAAAGAAAAAAAAAAAAAAAGGAGAGAGAGAGAUUGAGCUGUUUGCAAAUGGGUGAGGAGGUGAGGAUGAGUGAGUACGAAGGAGCUGGCAGCGGCGGCGACGACGAGGCGCGGGUUUCAGAGUGGGAGGCGGGGCUGCCGAGCGCUGAUGAUUUGACUCCGCUAUCCCAGCCGUUGAUUCCGAUCGAAUUAGCCUCGGCCUUCAGCAUCUCGCCGGAGCCCUGCCGCACGGCCGUCGACGUCAACCGCGCGUCGCAUAAGAUGGUCUCGACGCUCCGCGGCGGCGCCCACUCCCAGGGGUUCUCGUCAUCGAACUACAAGUCGUUCGACGAGAACCGCAGCGACGACGUGGUGGAGCCGAUGGUCGUGGAGUUGGACGAGAGCGGUGAGAGGUACGGAUCCGAUUCGAGAAAGUCGCGGAAGGUCGAUUGCAGUGCGGAGGAGGCGGAUUCGGCGCUGAGGACCGAGAAUUUCUCGCCGGACGACACGUCAGCGCGGACGCUGAAGCGGCCGCGGCUGGUGUGGACCCCGCAGCUGCACAAGCGGUUCGUGGAGGUGGUGGCCCACCUGGGGAUCAAGAACGCGGUGCCCAAGACGAUUAUGCAGCUGAUGAACGUCGAGGGAUUGACACGCGAAAACGUCGCCAGCCACUUGCAGAAGUACCGCCUGUACUUGAAGAGGAUGCAGGGCUUAUCCGGCGACGUGGGGUCCUCCUCGUCGGACAAGCUUUUUGCCACCACGCCGGUACCGCAAAGCUUACGCCACGAGUCUGGCGGCGGCGGCGGUGGCGGUGGCGCUGGGGGCUCGGGUCAGGCGGGUCCGGGUCAGAGCCACGGAAAUGGGCAGUUUUCGUUUCGGAUGCCGUACCCGCCUGCCGGGAUGAUGCAGAUGCCGGUUCUCGGGAUGAGCCACGGGCACGGGCACAUGGGCAUGCCCGGCGGUGCGGGCAGUCACGGCGGUGCGUACCAUGGGUUCGAGUCGCACCACUACAACAUGGGUUCGAUGGUUUCGUACCAACAUGCUGGUUCGAAUGACAAAUGAUAAAUCUUUACACAUUAAAGUUGAGAUUCAGAAGUUUCAGCAUGUUGGUUAAAGCUAACUCUUCGAACUCAACCUGUAAGCUUGCUUGAUUGGUAAUCCCGAACCUGACAGGCACGGGAAGGGUUCUUAGGAAUUAUGUGGAGAAACUUUAGAGGCAUAUGGGUUUUGAAUGAAUAGCCAAUGUAGCAAAACUCCCCUCAUUAAAUUUAUACUCCUCUUCCAAGUUACGUAACAGUGGGAGGUUUGCUCCUAGUCUACAUUGUUGACACCGAGGGCGUCGAGCACAUCCCUGACCUGUUCUUGGUUUAUAUAUUCUUUGUAUCAAUAAGGUAUUAAGCCUUUUCUUUCCAGAUUCAAUGGAAAGAAGUCAAUAAAGAUAUUGCAAUUGUCUGUUACCUGUCCUUCAAUCCUGGGUUGAACGCUUUUAUCACCUUUUCACCUCCCUUGUCAUGUAUGGCGAUGUGUUAUGUUCCGAUAUUACGUAAAUACAUUUGCAAUUGCUUUAGUUAACCUUUUACAGUCUCUGCCUUUGUAUGAUGAUCUUCAGAAUAGCGAGUAUCUUAGCCAAUUCUCCUUGUUUCUCUCGGUUAAAGCUUGGGUUUCUGUCGCAUAAUAGUACUGGUAGUUCAUUCGGGGUACAUGGAUCCUUUAUUGUUUGAAGAUAACUACAGAGAGACUUCAUCAGAUAAAGCGGUAGCUUUUACAACGGCAGUAAAAUGGCGGAUACCUACCCACAGUGGCAGAGAGCGUUCGUAACUAAUUCAUUGUUUAAGUUAUGUUGUCAACUGAAAUAAUUCAUACUGUACCUCUCUACAGAUUGUAGUUGAGAUCUUUUGUAUUUCUUCUUCUACACUGGCUUUGUUCUUAAAAUCCUGUCGGGCUGAAACCUACUUGUAUGCGGUGAACAAACAUCGGUGAGAAGAUGUAUUUGUUUUGAUGAUCAAUAGUAUUUAAAUUCAUGUUAUCA